GGGUGAGUAACGCGUAGGUAACCUGCCUUGUAGCGGGGGGUAACUAUUGGAAACGAUAGCUAAUACCGCAUAACAAUGAAUGACUCAUGUCAUUUAUUUGAAAGGGGCAAUUGCUCCACUACAAGAUGGACCUGCGUUGUAUUAGCUAGUUGGUGAGGUAACGGCUCACCAAGGCCACGAUGCAUAGCCGACCUGAGAGGGUGAUCGGCCACACUGGGACUGAGACACGGCCCAGACUCC
This 240-nucleotide ribosomal RNA is filed under the name uncultured Streptococcus sp. RNAcentral's name for it is "partial 16S ribosomal RNA". It matches the Rfam family "Bacterial small subunit ribosomal RNA", at positions 104 to 339 of the family's 1533-position model. The record is from RNAcentral. Lineage: Bacteria; Bacillati; Bacillota; Bacilli; Lactobacillales; Streptococcaceae.